Molecule: ribosomal RNA, 253 nt
Filed under: uncultured bacterium
Lineage: Bacteria
Description: partial 16S ribosomal RNA
Rfam family: Bacterial small subunit ribosomal RNA
Source: RNAcentral
GACGUAGGAGGCGAGCGUUGUCCGGAUUCAUUGGGCGUAAAGAGCGCGCAGGCGGCUUGGUAAGUCGGAUGUGAAAACCCGAGGCUCAACCUCGGGCGUGCAUCCGAUACUGCUCGGCUAGAGGUAGGUAGGGGAGAUCGGAAUUCCUGGUGUAGCGGUGAAAUGCGUAGAUAUCAAGAGGAACACCUGAGGUGAAGACGGGUUGCUGGGCUGACACUGACGCUGAUGCGCGAAAGCCAGGGGAGCAAACGGG